Molecule: long non-coding RNA, 582 nt
Organism: Wyeomyia smithii (pitcher-plant mosquito)
Lineage: Eukaryota; Metazoa; Arthropoda; Insecta; Diptera; Culicidae
Exons: 3
Source: RefSeq, a predicted model, not a curated record
GCGCUUAUAUUAAGCGCUAACGCUCUAACGUCUCCGCAUUUAGAAAGGCACUUUUAGAUGAAAUUGCAGAAAAUACAAGAGUUACAAUUCGACAGCCAUGGCAGCCUGGUACUAACGAGGACGCUGCAACCGUCUUGAAUCUGAAGCGGAUAACAGCAAAGACUAGCACCCACCCAUACGUCAAAAAGAGAUUUUACGUAAGGCAUGAGAAAACCGAAAGCGAAACUCUGGAAAGACACGAUGGAUGACGAGCAUCUGUCUCUGAUCGAAAGAUCACGUUGCCGUAACUAUACCGGACACGGAGCCUACGCCAAGGGAAAAUUCAUCUCCGAAAGGGGUUUCAACUGUAGGCUGUAUGUCAUCUGCUGGAGAAGAUUGAAAUGUUCUUGUGUGGAGUCUCUUGACACCUGCCUAGCGUCGGACGGACCAUUUCUAUCCAGCUGGGUGAGGCGUUAUUUGUCUGUUUAAUAUUCAGACCAGGAUACGAAUCGAUUCCCGAGAAGAAGCAAACGGUGUGGAAGAACGGAACAACGGUGCGCUGUACGCGGCGGAAAUCCGCACCGUGUCGGUAGAUGGCAGGCC